RNAcentral lists this unclassified non-coding RNA (905 nucleotides) under Hevea brasiliensis (rubber tree). The record is from RNAcentral. Lineage: Eukaryota; Viridiplantae; Streptophyta; Magnoliopsida; Malpighiales; Euphorbiaceae.
GUCGACGGCCGCAGUUCAGGGCUUGUGCUUCCCCACCAUCUCUUCAGCCAUCAAGCUGAGGAGAGCCACCGUCCCUAUCGCCGCCUCCCUCACUCCAUCCAGCUCCUCUCCCCUUUCAUAUUCCGUCCCUCGCCUCAUAAGGAACUCACCAGUUUUCGCAGCUCCGGCUACGAUCGCACCUGCCGUUGAAAUGGAAUCGGUGGAGCGAAUCAAAACAGGGUUUGAGCAGUUCAAGAAGGAGAUCUAUGAGAAGAAGCCCGAGUUGUUCGGCCCACUGGCGGAGGGUCAAAGCCCAAAGUUCUUGGUGUUUGCCUGUGCGGACUCAAGGGUGUGUCCAUCUGUGAUACUCAGUUUCCAGCCGGGAGAGGCCUUCACGAUCCGCAACAUUGCCAACACAGUCCCUGCCUAUGACAAGACCAGGUACUCAGGAAUGGGAGCAGCCAUUGAAUAUCCCAUCGUUCAUCUCAAGGUGCCAAACAUUGUUGUGAUCGGCCACAGCCGUUGCGGUGGAAUCAAGGCUCUGAUGUCCAUCAAGGGCGAUGAGGGUCUGGGCACUGAGUUCAUCGAGGAUUGGGUGAAGAUCGGUUGGCCGGCAAGAGAGAAGGUCCUGAAGGAGCAUCCUGACUUAGAUUUUGCAGAGCAAUGCACCAUAUGUGAAAAGGAAGCUGUAAAUACUUCCAUCGAAAACUUGAAGACAUAUCCAUAUGUCAAAGAGGGGCUGGAGAACAAGACUGUGAAUGUGUUUGGCGCAUACUAUGAUUUCGUCAAGGGAAGUUUCGACAUAUGGGAGUAAACUCAGUUUGUGAUUCGUUUUAUCUGAGUUCUUAUAUCAGUGCAUUGUAAAUGCUCAUGCUUUAUAGUCUGAGUUCUUAUAUCAGUGCAUUGUAAAUGCUCAUGCUUUAUAG